AUUUUUGCCGCCGUUUUCGGUGACGCCAGGUCGGACGGUCCCGUCCGCGACGUGAAAAGGGAAUCCAGUGAAAGACUGGAACAGUGCCCGCUACUGUAACACCCCACCUAUCGAACGAAGGAGAGCACCCGCAAGACGUGCCACUGCCGCCACUGAGGCGGUGGGAAGGCCCACAGCCCUCCUUCAGGGUGAAGUCAGGAAACCUGCCGGAAACAACAACGUAUA
Molecule: non-coding RNA, 225 nt
Filed under: Tannerella sp.
Lineage: Bacteria; Pseudomonadati; Bacteroidota; Bacteroidia; Bacteroidales; Tannerellaceae
Source: RNAcentral